This 844-nucleotide long non-coding RNA is filed under the name Homo sapiens (human). RNAcentral describes it as "HSALNT0129525". The record is from RNAcentral. Lineage: Eukaryota; Metazoa; Chordata; Mammalia; Primates; Hominidae.
GGGGCCUGAUUUACUAUGCCAAAAGAAAAAAAAACUUAAGCUGAAAGCUGAGUCAUGCAAGAAGCUGCCUUUCCUGUUGUUCCUAAACCGAUAGCUACAGACAAAAGGUUGAACAUCUCCACAGCAUGUGGACUAUCACACACUCCCUCUUUCCCCUCCAGCCACUUUUCGCCUUUAAAUACUGAAGCCCUCAAAGUCAUCUUUGAAGAAAGGCACAGACCACAGACUUCCUGUGAUUCCACGUUUAUUUGUUCCAGAAAAAUGGAGGUCUUUGAUUGCAUUGCUACUGGUGUGGAGAUAAAAACCACUGUUCACAUCCAACCAUUUUUUUUUUUGUAAACUGGACAUAAUUGGAGACACUGGUGAUUUCAUCAAGACUUUGAUUGUAAUGACAUUUUCAGAUGGCCUUGAGAAAAUGAGGCUGACCUAUAAAGCCAAUAAAAGCGCCUUGGAAAACCUGGGAUCAUACAUUUUUAUUUGCAGCGUACUGACUUGGGAUAAGUAAAGAAUGUCACUUUCUGACAGGCCCAGGAAACUCAGGUUUUCUUGGGACCUUGAAAAAAGAGUAAUUCACCCAAUUCACACAGGUAUCUGCAGGCACAGUAAAUUCUUAGCUGGGCUCAAGGCUUUUAAAAAGUUCAAAUCUUAGAUUCCUUAUGAAAAGCUUCCAGCAAAGCCAAUUUUAUAAAGAGAAAGAGAGAGCCUGCAUGGCAAAUGAUUAUUCUUGCUGAACUUUAUGCAAAUAAUCAAGCCAAGUAAAUAGAACUAAAACUUAUUUGAAACAUAAAUUGGUCCUACUAUGAUUUUGUCUUUAAUAAAAUUUGAAAAUUGGAGACAGAAAAAU